CCUACGGGCGGCAGCAGUAGGGAAUCUUCGGCAAUGGGGGCAACCCUGACCGAGCAACGCCGCGUGAGUGAAGAAGGUUUUCGGAUCGUAAAACUCUGUUGUUAGAGAAGAACGUUAAGUAGAGUGGAAAAUUACUUAAGUGACGGUAUCUAACCAGAAAGGGACGGCUAACUACGUGCCAGCAGCCGCGGUAAUACGUAGGUCCCAAGCGUUGUCCGGAUUUAUUGGGCGUAAAGCGAGCGCAGGUGGUUUCUUAAGUCUGAUGUAAAAGGCAG
This 275-nucleotide ribosomal RNA is filed under the name uncultured bacterium. Its description in RNAcentral is "partial 16S ribosomal RNA". It matches the Rfam family "Bacterial small subunit ribosomal RNA", at positions 338 to 604 of the family's 1533-position model. The record is from RNAcentral.